UACGUAGGGGGCAAGCGUUGUCCGGAAUCAUUGGGCGUAAAGCGCGCGUAGGCGGCGUCGUAAGUCGGCCGUGAAAGCUCCCGGCUCAACUGGGAGAGGUCGGGCGAGACUGCGGUGCUCGAGGCGGGUAGAGGGCAGUGGAAUUCCGGGUGUAGUGGUGGAAUGCGUAGAGAUCCGGAGGAACACCAGUGGCGAAGGCGGCUGCCUGGGCCUGGCCUGACGCUGAGGCGCGAAAGCGUGGGGAGCGAUCCGG
This 253-nucleotide ribosomal RNA is filed under the name uncultured bacterium. RNAcentral's name for it is "partial 16S ribosomal RNA". It matches the Rfam family "Bacterial small subunit ribosomal RNA", at positions 524 to 776 of the family's 1533-position model. The record is from RNAcentral.